UACGGAAGGCAGCAGUGGGGAAUAUUGCACAAUGGGCGCAAGCCUGAUGCAGCCAUGCCGCGUGUAUGAAAAGGCCUUCGGGUUGUAAAGUACUUUCAGUCGUGAGGAAGGUGUUAAGGUUAAUAACCUUAGCAAUUGACGUUAGCGACAGAAGAAGCACCGGCUAACUCCGUGCCAGCAGCCGCGGUAAUACGGAGGGUGCGAGCGUUAAUCGGAAUUACUGGGCGUAAAGGGCACGCAGGCGGUUAAUUAAGUUGGAUGUGAAAUCCCCGGGCUUAACCUGGGAAUGGCAUUCAAGACUGGUUAGCUAGAGUCUUGUAGAGGGGGUAGAAUUCCAUGUGUAGCGGUGAAAUGCGUAGAGAUGUGGAGGAUACCGGUGGCGAAGGCGGCCCCUGGACAAAGACUGACGCUCAUGUGCGAAAGCGUGGGGAGCAAAC
RNAcentral lists this ribosomal RNA (437 nucleotides) under uncultured bacterium. Its description in RNAcentral is "bacterial SSU rRNA". It matches the Rfam family "Bacterial small subunit ribosomal RNA", at positions 340 to 773 of the family's 1533-position model. The record is from RNAcentral.